GACGAACGCUGGCGGCGUGCCUAAUACAUGCAAGUAGGACGCACAGUUUAUACCGUAGCUUGCUACACCAUAGACUGUGAGUUGCGAACGGGUGAGUAACGCGUAGGUAACCUACCUAUUAGAGGGGGAUAACUAUUGGAAACGAUAGCUAAUACCGCAUAACAGCAUGUAACACAUGUUAGAUGCUUGAAAGAUGCAAUUGCAUCGCUAGUAGAUGGACCUGCGUUGUAUUAGCUAGUAGGUAGGGUAAAGGCCUACCUAGGCAACGAUACAUAGCCGACCUGAGAGGGUGAUCGGCCACACUGGGACUGAGACACGGCCCAGACUCCUACGGGAGGCAGCAGUAGGGAAUCUUCGGCAAUGGGGGGAACCCUGACCGAGCAACGCCGCGUGAGUGAAGAAGGUUUUCGGAUCGUAAAGCUCUGUUGUUAAGGAAGAACGAGUGUGAGAAUGGAAAGUUCAUGCUGUGACGGACUUAAC
This 480-nucleotide ribosomal RNA is filed under the name Streptococcus anginosus. RNAcentral describes it as "bacterial SSU rRNA". It matches the Rfam family "Bacterial small subunit ribosomal RNA", at positions 28 to 483 of the family's 1533-position model. Lineage: Bacteria; Bacillati; Bacillota; Bacilli; Lactobacillales; Streptococcaceae. The record is from RNAcentral.